RNAcentral lists this microRNA (23 nucleotides) under Pan troglodytes (chimpanzee). Its description in RNAcentral is "ptr-miR-1289". Lineage: Eukaryota; Metazoa; Chordata; Mammalia; Primates; Hominidae. The record is from miRBase by way of RNAcentral. RNAcentral also lists the same sequence under 3 other names.
UGGAGUCCAGGAAUCUGCAUUUU